GCUUAACCGGAGAAGUGCAUCGGAAACUGGGAGACUUGAGUGCAGAAGAGGACAGUGGAACUCCAUGUGUAGCGGUGGAAUGCGUAGAUAUAUGGAAGAACACCAGUGGCGAAGGCGGCUGUCUAGUCUGUAACUGACGCUGAGGCUCGAAAGCAUGGGUAGCGAACAGGAUUAGAUACCCUGGUAGUCCAUGCCGUAAACGAUGAGUGCUAAGUGUUGGAGGGUUUCCGCCCUUCAGUGCUGCAGCUAACGCAUUAAGCACUCCGCCUGGGGAGUACGACCGCAAGGUUGAAACUCAAAGGAAUUGACGGGGGCCCGCACAAGCGGUGGAGCAUGUGGUUUAAUUCGAAGCUACGCGAAGAACCUUACCAGGUCUUGACAUACUAUGCAAAUCUAAGAGAUUAGACGUUCCCUUCGGGGACAUGGAUACAGGUGGUGCAUGGUUGUCGUCAGCUCGUGUCGUGAGAUGUUGGGUUAAGUCCCGCAACGAGCGCAACCCUUAUUAUCAGUUGCCAGCAUUAAGUUGGGCACUCUGGUGAGACUGCCGGUGACAAACCGGAGGAAGGUGGGGAUGACGUCAAAUCAUCAUGCCCCUUAUGACCUGGGCUACACACGUGCUACAAUGGAUGGUACAACG
RNAcentral lists this ribosomal RNA (637 nucleotides) under uncultured bacterium. RNAcentral's name for it is "bacterial SSU rRNA". It matches the Rfam family "Bacterial small subunit ribosomal RNA", at positions 607 to 1244 of the family's 1533-position model. The record is from RNAcentral.